RNAcentral lists this ribosomal RNA (468 nucleotides) under uncultured bacterium. RNAcentral describes it as "partial 16S ribosomal RNA". It matches the Rfam family "Bacterial small subunit ribosomal RNA", at positions 28 to 507 of the family's 1533-position model. The record is from RNAcentral.
GACGAUCGCUGGCGGCGUGCUUAACACAUGCAAGUCGAACGGAAAGGCCCUGCUUUUGUGGGGUGCUCGAGUGGCGAACGGGUGAGUAACACGUGAGUAACCUGCCCUUGACUUUGGGAUAACUUCAGGAAACUGGGGCUAAUACCGGAUAGGAGCUCCUGCUGCAUGGUGGGGGUUGGAAAGUUUCGGCGGUUGGGGAUGGACUCGCGGCUUAUCAGCUUGUUGGUGGGGUAGUGGCUUACCAAGGCUUUGACGGGUAGCCGGCCUGAGAGGGUGACCGGCCACAUUGGGGCUGAGAUACGGCCCAGACUCCUACGGGAGGCAAAAGUGGCGAAUAUUGCACAAUGGGCGGAAGCCUGAUGCAGCAACGCCGCGUGCGGGAUAACGGCCUUCGGGUUGUAAACCGCUUUCGCCUGUGACGAAGCGUGAGUGACGGUAAUGUGUAAAGAAGCACCGGCUAACUACGUG